This is a long non-coding RNA of Mya arenaria, 888 nucleotides long. RefSeq lists it as uncharacterized. The record is from RefSeq and is a predicted model, not a curated record. The transcript has 3 exons. NCBI's taxonomy places the organism in Eukaryota, Metazoa, Mollusca, Bivalvia, Myida, Myidae.
CAGUGUCAUUGGGGGCUAUUAUAGGACUUGGAAUCGGAGUUCCAGUACUUGCAGUUAUUGCCGUUGUCAUAUUCGUCUUUGUAAAGAAACGGUCCAUUGCCAAACCAACGGAAGCCUUUAACAUCGAAUAUGUUAAUCAAACUGUUGGAUCUUCAAAAAGGACGAACAGAGACAUUGAACGCAACAUUGAGAAUUCAUACGAAACGCUUGAUGCCAGAACGACAGCAGAUGCUAAGGAUGACUAUGAGCAAUUGCCAGCGGGACAACAAUUAACAAGUAACUCUGCAGAAUACGGGAAUGUUGAAGAUGAUCUCGUACAUUAUCAGAACAUUUAAACUUCGAAAACUGACAAGCAAACAAAAUAAAUUCUAAGAAAUAUUUCAACUUGUCCGAAGGGACAUAAAUGCCUUCAAAACUGCGUAGGGAAUGGGUUCCUUACUUUCCUCGCUCAGUGUAGUGAACUUAUUUUAAACGGCGUGAAUAAACUGGUCAGAAGAUACACCUGUGAAUCUUACUAUGAUAGAUUUUAACCUGCCCGAUAUACUAGAUCUACGAUUCACAGUAUGUUAAAACAGUGAACAUUAUUAUGCCUCAAGACUUGUCACUAAGUUAAGAAUUUAUCUUGACCUGCCCUUUAAGAAAUCGUUGAUAUAAUAGGCAGGACAUUUCAAGACAUCGGCGUCAAACAAAAUGUUUAAAAUUGAACAAUAUGUUUAGAAUUAUGUAGACAUGACUUUUAGUAACUCCUGGAUAUAAAAUGCAAUAGUUAAGAUAACCAUGUCACUUAAUUUCGUUGUAUUGUUUUAUUUUUCUUUAGAAAUGAACACUUUGUUUACACUUUCGUCGACUUACUAAUAGUCUCUUUCUCUCUCUCUCUCUCUCUCUCUC